CCUACGGGGGGCUGCAGUGAGGAAUAUUGGUCAAUGGACGAGAGUCUGAACCAGCCAAGUAGCGUGAAGGAUGACUGCCCUAUGGGUUGUAAACUUCUUUUAUAAAGGAAUAAAACGAGGCACGUGUGCCUUUUUGCAUGUACUUUAUGAAUAAGGAUCGGCUAACUCCGUGCCAGCAGCCGCGGUAAUACGGAGGAUCCGAGCGUUAUCCGGUUUUAUUGGGUUUAAAGGGAGCGUAGAUGGGUUGUUAAGUAAGGUGUGAAAGUUUGAGGCUCAACCGUAAAAUUGCAAUUGAUACUGGGAGUCUUGAGGACAGUUGAGGUAGGCAGGAUUCGUGGUGUAGCGGUGAAAUGCGUAGAUAUCACGAAGAACCCCGAUUGCGAAGGCAGCUUACUAAACUGUGACUGACAUUGAUGCUCGAAAGUGUGGGUAUCAAACAGGAUUAGAUACCCCGGUAGUC
This 460-nucleotide ribosomal RNA is filed under the name uncultured bacterium. Its description in RNAcentral is "partial 16S ribosomal RNA". It matches the Rfam family "Bacterial small subunit ribosomal RNA", at positions 338 to 795 of the family's 1533-position model. The record is from RNAcentral.